This 86-nucleotide transfer RNA is filed under the name Schistosoma margrebowiei. It matches the Rfam family "tRNA". From Rfam's summary of the family: Transfer RNA (tRNA) molecules are approximately 80 nucleotides in length. Their secondary structure includes four short double-helical elements and three loops (D, anti-codon, and T loops). Further hydrogen bonds mediate the characteristic L-shaped molecular structure. tRNAs have two regions of fundamental functional importance: the anti-codon, which is responsible for specific mRNA codon recognition, and the 3' end, to which the tRNAs corresponding amino acid is attached (by aminoacyl-tRNA synthetases). tRNAs cope with the degeneracy of the genetic code in two manners: having more than one tRNA (with a specific anti-codon) for a particular amino acid; and 'wobble' base-pairing, i.e. permitting non-standard base-pairing at the 3rd anti-codon position. The record is from Rfam by way of RNAcentral. Lineage: Eukaryota; Metazoa; Platyhelminthes; Trematoda; Strigeidida; Schistosomatidae.
GUCGCAGUGAUUGAGUGGUCUAAGGAGAGUUCUUCUGGGUGUUAUGGUCCACUAAGUGGGCGUGGGUUCGAAUCCCACCUCCGAUA